Molecule: non-coding RNA, 255 nt
Filed under: Candidatus Brevifilum fermentans
Lineage: Bacteria; Bacillati; Chloroflexota; Anaerolineae; Anaerolineales; Anaerolineaceae
Source: RNAcentral
AAACUGGCAUUGAUGGAAACGAGUACACGUUCCGCUGGCUAACAGCGAUCCCGGGUGGGUGGGAGCCGGGAAGUCAUGACCGUUGAAAAUCCUUCCGGAGUCGCAAUCUGAACCUCCAGUACGGAAAAGUAAGUGCGCCAGAGUCACCCUCUGUUAUCAAAGUGCGGUUAUCUCAACAAUUGAUGAAACCGGAUGAGGUGCCCAUAUGAUUAUGGGAACCAGGGUGGUACCGCGAGUACACUGCUCGUCCCUGAU